This 468-nucleotide ribosomal RNA is filed under the name uncultured bacterium. RNAcentral describes it as "partial 16S ribosomal RNA". It matches the Rfam family "Bacterial small subunit ribosomal RNA", at positions 28 to 507 of the family's 1533-position model. The record is from RNAcentral.
GACGAACGCUGGCGGCGUGCUUAACACAUGCAAGUCGAACGGAAAGGCCCUGCUUUUGUGGGGUGCUCGAGUGGCGAACGGGUGAGUAACACGUGAGUAACCUGCCCUUGACUUUGGGAUAACUUCAGGAAACUGGGGCUAAUACCGGAUAGGAGCUCCUGCUGCAUGGUGGGGGUUGGAAAGUUUCGGCGGUUGGGGAUGGACUCGCGGCUUAUCAGCUUGUUGGUGGGGUAGUGGCUUACCAAGGCUUUGACGGGUAGCCGGCCUGAGAGGGUGACCGGCCACAUUGGGACUGAGAUACGGCCCAGACUCCUACGGGAGGCAGAAGUGGGGAAUAUUGCACAAUGGGCGGAAGCCUGAUGCAGCAACGCCGCGUGCGGGAUGACGGCAUUCGGGUUGUAAACCGCUUUCGCCUGUGACGAAGCGUGAGUGACGGUAAUGGGUAAAGAAGCACCGGCUAACUACGUG